CUGCUCAGAGCCUUUAUUCAGUUGAAGCUGCUGGGGGCUCCUGCAGCCUCGGGGAGUGUGGUGCCACUGGCACUGGAGGCAACAGAAGGCGAAGCUGUUUGGAUAGAGAAGCCAGCUGGUAGCGCAGAACCCAGAACAUCUGGUGAUCUUCAGAUGACAUCACAAGGUGCAGGGAGGCCUGGCUGAAGUUGCAAUGGGACCACUUCUGAGGACCUGAAUCUUCAAUGAUGUAAGUGAGCCAGCAGCUCCCUGUUGAAGGGACUCAGUGGUCCUGGUAGAGGACAGAACUUGUGCAAAAUCAUAGAGACCAGAGAGCCUCCCAUGCUGCAGGAAAUGAGUCUAGGCCACCACUCCUGUCUGGGACCUGGGUCUUCUACUGUGUCCUCCUGGUUUUCCAGCACAGCUGGACCCUGAGCUUUGCUCUAGCCAUCCCCUCCACAGAGUGCCUGAAGUUCUCCACCGUCACCUCACAGAACCCCACUCACCCUCCCCAGCUUUAGUGGAAUGACCUGUGGGUGACCACGUCAUCUGUCAAUCUCUAAUAAGGCUGAUGCCCGAGCAGACAUGAAUGUUCCAGUCAUCACAGCAAUAGCCAGCCUGGAAUCCAG
RNAcentral lists this long non-coding RNA (608 nucleotides) under Cricetulus griseus (Chinese hamster). RNAcentral describes it as "lncRNA (ENSCGRG00015031889.1)". The record is from RNAcentral. Lineage: Eukaryota; Metazoa; Chordata; Mammalia; Rodentia; Cricetidae.